AGGAAGUAAAAGUCGUAACAAGGUUUCCGUAGGUGAACCUGCGGAAGGAUCAUUAUCGUAUGACCGAAGGUACGAGGGGCUGUCGCUGACCCUUCAAGGUUGUGCACGCCCUUCGUGUCCUUCAAACACACAAUCCACAUCACCUUUGUGCAUCNCCGCGUGGGCCCCCCUCGUGAAAAAGGAGGGCUUGCGUUUUUCCACAUAGACACCCUUCAUAUGCAGCAUAGAAUGUCUUACAUUUUGCGAUCAUUCGCAAUCAAUACAACUUUCAACAACGGAUCUCUUGGCUCUCGCAUCGAUGAAGAACGCAGCGAAAUGCGAUACGUAAUGUGAAUUGCAGAAUUCAGUGAAUCAUCGAAUCUUUGAACGCACCUUGCGCCCCUUGGCAUUCCGAGGGGCACACCCGUUUGAGUGUCGUGAAAAUCUUCAACCUUUUUUCGUAUUACGGAGAAGGCUUGGACUUUGGAGGCUUUUUGCUGGCCCCUCUUCUCGGAGCUGGCUCCUCUUAAAUGCAUUAGCGGGGUCCACUUUGCCGGUCCUAGACGUGAUAAGCCCUUUUCUACGUCCAGAGAGGCAGAGAGUGACUUUUGCUUCUAAUCGUCUCAUGCAGACAAUGGUGGUUGAUGUCGAAUCCACGAACGCUCUUGACCUCAAAUCGGGUGAGACUACCCGCUGAACUUAAGCAUAUCAAUAAGC
This 696-nucleotide ribosomal RNA is filed under the name Lactifluus sp. RNAcentral describes it as "eukaryotic LSU rRNA". The stretch from base 264 to 417 matches the Rfam family "5.8S ribosomal RNA". The record is from RNAcentral. Lineage: Eukaryota; Fungi; Basidiomycota; Agaricomycetes; Russulales; Russulaceae.